Molecule: non-coding RNA, 521 nt
Organism: Phyllostomus discolor (pale spear-nosed bat)
Lineage: Eukaryota; Metazoa; Chordata; Mammalia; Chiroptera; Phyllostomidae
Source: the annotation of a RefSeq genome assembly
CUGUCUGGGGUGUGAGCUGAGCUCUAGCACCAGGGCUCAGGGAGGGGCUGGGUAGCCCCUGGAUGGACACACAUUUGCAUGGACAGCCCCUCCCCUGGCAGAAGGUGGGGAGAAAAGGAGGCCUGGGCAGCCCAGCCCCACUGUGGGCUCAGGGGCUGUGUGCACCAUGGCCUGGACCCCUUUCCUCCUCGUGCUCCUCUCUCACUGCACAGGUUCCCUCUCCCAGCCUGUGCUGACUCAGCCGCCCUCCCUCUCUGCUUCUCUGGGAGCCACAGCCAGACUCACCUGUACCCUCAGCCGUGACAUCAGUGUUGUCGACCACCACAUAUGGUGGUACCAGAAGAAGCCAGGGAGCCCUCCCCGGUACCUCCUGGCAUAUAAAUCGGACUCAGAGAAGCACCAGGGCUCCGGGGUCCCCAGCCGCUUCUCUGGAUCCUAAGACACCUCGGCCAAUGCAGGGCUCCUGACCAUCUCGGGGCUGCAGCCUGAGGACGACGCCCACUAUCACUGUGGGAACUGGA